UGUUGCACCAGGUGGAAUUGA
This 21-nucleotide non-coding RNA is filed under the name Caenorhabditis elegans. The record is from RNAcentral. Lineage: Eukaryota; Metazoa; Nematoda; Chromadorea; Rhabditida; Rhabditidae.